RNAcentral lists this small RNA (131 nucleotides) under Salmonella enterica. Its description in RNAcentral is "RtT sRNA". It matches the Rfam family "RtT RNA". From Rfam's summary of the family: This family represents a bacterial cis-regulatory element known as RtT RNA. The exact function of RtT is unknown although it is thought that it may be involved in changing the cellular response in relation to amino acid starvation. RNAcentral also lists the same sequence under 6 other names. Lineage: Bacteria; Pseudomonadati; Pseudomonadota; Gammaproteobacteria; Enterobacterales; Enterobacteriaceae. The record is from RNAcentral.
AUAUCUCUCUGUACGGGAAGGAUGAGAAGCUUCGACUAAGGUUCGAUUCGAGCGCAGCGAGAAAGCGUUGCCGCAGGCAACGACCCGAAGGGUGAAGCGCGCAGCGCUGAGUCAUCCUUCCCCCACCACCA